GACGAACCGUGCGAACGUUAUUCGGAAUCACUGGGCUUAAAGCGCGUGUAGGCGGCCCGGCACGUCCGUCGCUGAAAUCCCCCGGCCCAACCGGGGAACGGGCGCGGAUACGGCCGGGCUGGAGGGGGGUAGGGGGCGCCGGAACUCACGGUGGAGCGGUGAAAUGCGUUGAGAUCGUGAGGAACGCCCGUGGCGAAAGCGGGCGCCUGGGCCCCGCCUGACGCUGAGACGCGAAAGCCAGGGGAGCGAACGGG
Molecule: ribosomal RNA, 254 nt
Filed under: uncultured bacterium
Lineage: Bacteria
Description: partial 16S ribosomal RNA
Rfam family: Bacterial small subunit ribosomal RNA
Source: RNAcentral